Molecule: ribosomal RNA, 253 nt
Filed under: uncultured microorganism
Description: partial 16S ribosomal RNA
Rfam family: Bacterial small subunit ribosomal RNA
Source: RNAcentral
UACGUAGGGUGCGAGCGUUAAUCGGAUUUACUGGGCGUAAAGCGUGCGCAGGCGGCCCGUUAAGACAGGUGUGAAAUCCCUGGGCUCAACCUAGGAAUUGCGCUUGUGACUGGCGGGCUCGAGUACGGUAGAGGGGGGUGGAAUUCCUGGUGUAGCAGUGAAAUGCGUAGAGAUCAGGAGGAACACCGAUGGCGAAGGCAGCCCCCUGGGCCUGUACUGACGCUCAUGCACGAAAGCGUGGGGAGCAACCAGG